UGUGGUAUGAGUGCCAAUGAGACAACUCUCCAUCCAAGUCACAAUGUGUAAAAAGUAAACAAUUAUAGGUCAAAGUACGGCUUUCAAUACGGAGCCUUGGCUCACACCAAACAGCAAGCUAUAAAGGGCCCCAAAAUGACUAGUGUAAACACAUCAAACGAAUGGAAAACAACUGUAUUUAGUUUGUCAGUAUUCAGAGUAGAUUGUGUGGUGUAAACACGGCCAUAUUCUUCAAUUCCCCCUUUUUUUUUUAUCAUGAACCUUAAUGAGUGCAAGAUAUUUUCAACAUGUUUGUUGAAAGUUUUCAUUUCUUAUACCAGCAUGUACCUUAAUAUGUAUUUAUAGAUUCUCUUGUACACCUGUUAAAGUAUGAGAUUAUGAAUAAAAUAUAGAUAAUUUGA
This is a long non-coding RNA of Mytilus californianus (California mussel), 401 nucleotides long. RefSeq lists it as uncharacterized. The record is from RefSeq and is a predicted model, not a curated record. The transcript has 2 exons. Lineage: Eukaryota; Metazoa; Mollusca; Bivalvia; Mytilida; Mytilidae.